AACGCACGAGACCUGCGGACCUGCGGAGGGAUCAUUGCUGGAACGCGCCCCAGGCGCACCCAGAAACCCUUUGUGAACUUAUACCUUACUGUUGCCUCGGCGCAUGCCGGCCCCCAGGGGCCCCUCGGAGACGAGGAGCAGGCACGCCGGCGGCCAACCUAACUCUUGUUUUUACACUGAAACUCUGAGAAAAAAAACAAAAUGAAUCAAAACUUUUAGCAACGGAUCUCUAGAUCGGAA
Molecule: unclassified non-coding RNA, 240 nt
Filed under: soil metagenome
Description: partial contains 5.8S ribosomal RNA, internal transcribed spacer 2, and large subunit ribosomal RNA
Source: RNAcentral